Molecule: ribosomal RNA, 266 nt
Filed under: uncultured bacterium
Lineage: Bacteria
Description: partial 16S ribosomal RNA
Rfam family: Bacterial small subunit ribosomal RNA
Source: RNAcentral
GUCCACGCCGUAAACGAUGAGCACUAGGUGUCGCGGGUAUUGACCCCUGCGGUGCCGAAGCUAACGCAUUAAGUGCUCCGCCUGGGGACUACGGCCGCAAGGUUAAAACUCAAAGGAAUUGACGGGGGCCCCGCACAAGCGGUGGAGCAUGUGGUUCAAUUCGACGCAACGCGAAGAACCUUACCUGGGCUAGACAACGGAGGCCCGCCCCAGAGAUGGGGUUUUCCCUUCGGGGACUUCCGGUUCAGGUGCUGCAUGGCUGUCGU